Molecule: ribosomal RNA, 328 nt
Filed under: uncultured eukaryote
Lineage: Eukaryota
Description: partial 18S ribosomal RNA
Rfam family: Eukaryotic small subunit ribosomal RNA
Source: RNAcentral
CCCUUAGAUGUCCUGGGCCGCACGCGCGCUACACUGAUGCAUGCAACGAGUUUAUAACCUUGGCCUGAAAGGUCUGGGUAAUCUUUUGAACGUGCAUCGUGAUAGGGAUAGAUUAUUGCAAUUGUUAAUCUUGAACGAGGAAUUCCUAGUAAACGCGAGUCAUCAGCUCGCAUUGAUUACGUCCCUGCCCUUUGUACACACCGCCCGUCGAACCUACCGAUUGAAUGGUUCGGUGAAGAUCUCGGACUUCGAUAUUUAUUCUUUAUUGAGUUUAUAUUGUGGGAAGUUAUCUAAACCUCAUCAUUUAGAGGAAGGUGAAGUCGUAACA